AACGAACGCUGGCGGCAUGCCUAACACAUGCAAGUCGAACGAGACCUUCGGGUCUAGUGGCGCACGGGUUCGUAACGCGUGGGAAUCUGCCCUUGGGUUCGGAAUAACAGUUGGAAACGACUGCUAAUACCGGAUGCUGACGUAAGUCCAAAGAUUUAUCGCCCAAGGAUGAGCCCGCGUAGGAUUAGCUAGUUGGUGAGGUAAAGGCUCACCAAGGCGACGAUCCUUAGCUGGUCUGAGAGGAUGAUCAGCCACACUGGGACUGAGACACGGCCCAGACUCGUACGGGAGGCAGCAGUGGGGAAUAUUGGACCAUGGGCGAGAGCCUGAUCCAGCAAUGCCGCGUGAGUGAUGAAGGCCUUAGGGUUGUAAAGCUCUUUUAACCGGGAUGAUAAUGACAGUACCGGGAGAAGAAGCUCCGGCUAACUCCGUG
This 433-nucleotide ribosomal RNA is filed under the name uncultured bacterium. RNAcentral's name for it is "partial 16S ribosomal RNA". It matches the Rfam family "Bacterial small subunit ribosomal RNA", at positions 29 to 507 of the family's 1533-position model. The record is from RNAcentral.